RNAcentral lists this ribosomal RNA (441 nucleotides) under uncultured bacterium. RNAcentral's name for it is "bacterial SSU rRNA". It matches the Rfam family "Bacterial small subunit ribosomal RNA", at positions 954 to 1392 of the family's 1533-position model. The record is from RNAcentral.
GCUUAACGCGAAGAACCUUACCUGGGCUAGAAAGCGCAAGAACCUCGGUGAAAACUGAGGGUGCCCUUCGGGGAACUUGUGAUUAGGUGCUGCAUGGCUGUCGUCAGCUCGUGUCGUGAGAUGUUGGGUUAAGUCCCGCAACGAGCGCAACCCUUGCUGUUAGUUGCCAUCAUUAAGUUGGGCACUCUAACAGGACUGCCGACCUUUAAGUCGGAGGAAGGUGGGGAUGACGUCAAGUCCUCAUGGCCCUUACGUCCAGGGCUACACACGUGCUACAAUGAACGGUACAAAGGGUCGCGAAACCGUGAGGUGGAGCCAAUCCCAAAAAGCCGUUCUCAGUACGGAUAAGAGUCUGCAACUCGACUCUUUGAAGGCGGAAUCGCUAGUAAUCCCUGAUCAGCAUAGCAGGGGUGAAUACGUUCCCGGGUCUUGUACACACCG